Molecule: transfer RNA, 89 nt
Filed under: Lentinula boryana
Lineage: Eukaryota; Fungi; Basidiomycota; Agaricomycetes; Agaricales; Omphalotaceae
Description: tRNA-Tyr
Rfam family: tRNA
About the family: Transfer RNA (tRNA) molecules are approximately 80 nucleotides in length.
Source: RNAcentral
CCGACCAUAGCUCAGUUGGAAGAGCACAAGACUGUAAAGGUUAAACUCUAGGAAUCUUGGGGUCGCCUGUUCGAACCAGGCUGGUCGGA